GUCUAGGGCCAUGCCACCCUGAUAACAGGUAAAACCAUCUGAUCUCAGAAGCUAAGCAGGGUUGGACCUGGUUAGUACUUGGAUGGGAGACCACCUAGAAAGACCAGGUGCUGUAGGCA
RNAcentral lists this ribosomal RNA (119 nucleotides) under Pteropus alecto (black flying fox). Lineage: Eukaryota; Metazoa; Chordata; Mammalia; Chiroptera; Pteropodidae. The record is from RNAcentral.